GGAUCACCAGACGAGGAGUCACCUGUCAUCUAUAUAGUAUAUCUGCAGGUUGCUUCACAUUGGUAUCAUGCAUCCCAACUAAAGCUGAGAAGGAGCAUAAUGGAUAGUGACACUGAAAAAUCACAGGGAUAUGGAGUGACAGAAAACGGCAACCGAUCAGAAAUCCCAUUGCUUGUAGGAAUGGUUUUGGUUAUGAGG
Molecule: long non-coding RNA, 198 nt
Organism: Calidris pugnax (ruff)
Lineage: Eukaryota; Metazoa; Chordata; Aves; Charadriiformes; Scolopacidae
Exons: 3
Source: RefSeq, a predicted model, not a curated record